UAAGUGUUGUGUGUUGUUGCUGCUGUUUCAUAUCGAUCAUAAGUGCGUUCAAUUUGAAAUUGACACGACUACACGGAGACAUUACAAGAAUGUAUGCACAUAUGUAUACGCGUACAAAUUUGGUUCGAAUUCCAUAAGAGUAUAGGCUAAGCAACCGCAAGACUGACAGCAAUCGAUCACGUGUUGCGGAAAGAGCAGUUUAUUUAUUCCUAAUCUAAAUCCAUAUGUUCUGACAAUCAUUUAUACAUAUAUUGUAUUUAUAAUUACAGGUACAUCCAUAUGUAUCUAUUUAAGUGAUAACUUCAAAUGAAUAUAUUCACGUAUGUAUUUUGCCGAGAUUUAAUAAAAAACUACAUACCCUGUACCAUUUGCAAACCUAAAAGUAAAAAGCAAUGACAGACCACAUUGCGACAUGUAACGUCGCUGAGGAAAAUGAGAAGAGAUAACAGAAAAAUUAGGAGCGAAAAGCAGAUUGUAUCGGGAAAAUAUAUGGACUUCAUUUAAAUACUUACUUUUAAGAUAUACAUAAGUAUACAUAUAGUAUAUAUUGAAACUGGACAAUAUUUUAUAAUGAUUACUGUAAAGUAAGUAAAAGUAAGGAGUUUUUUUAUACUCUUAAACAUGUUGAUCGACCUACUAUGUCAACCAAAUUCAGUGCACAUUAUAUUGCCUUUCAUAUAUUACUGAGUGAAAUUUUAAAUUACAUCACAUUUGUGCCCUUCCAGCACCAACGAAUACACACAAAACCGUACAGAUACGAUCAUAUGUGAAUUAUUUAACUGAAAUUUAAAGGGAACUCUUUGCUGAUUAUAGGAACCCUAUAUGCCAAAAUGGGUUGAAUCAUAUGAAGGCUCCCUUAGCAGCAUAUACCAAUAUAAAGAUCUUCGAACUUCCGGUUUACUUAUACCGCAUACAAGUAUCGGCCAAUAUGUGAUGAAUGAUGAAUGAGAAAGUGCGUUUUACAAAUAACAAUGUAUCUUUGAGCCUAAAGUGGAUAAAAUCGAGUGUAAACUAUCAGGCUAAUAUUUUACCAAAAGCUAGACCUUUAUUAUUAUAUGUACAUAUUUCUUUUCAAAAGCGAGGCUGCCUUAGUUAGUUAA
Molecule: long non-coding RNA, 1100 nt
Organism: Bactrocera latifrons
Lineage: Eukaryota; Metazoa; Arthropoda; Insecta; Diptera; Tephritidae
Exons: 2
Source: RefSeq, a predicted model, not a curated record